GUCAAUCCUGCAGGCUACAUUGACAUGACACAGGCCAUGGAUAUUAUUAAAAAGAGAACAUGACUGGAAAAGAGACAGAAAAUGAGAUGAACGGCAGUCUCAGUCCGCACUGUGGGAUAAUUGUCUGCUUACAAUUUGAUGACUUUGCUGUUCUAACGUCUCCAAAGGGAAGUUUGCCAGUCAGGGGGGAGGCUCAGGCUGGUGAUUUAUGAAAAAAAGCCCUAAUCAAUAUUUGAUAUUAAUUUUGUAAAUGAAUGUCAGAAUGAUGUAGCCCUCUGGUCGUUUAACUGUUUCACGCAGUAAUGUGUUUUAUGGCACCGGAUCAGAGGCUUUUUCUUUUCUUUUUUUUACUAGAAACCUGGUCAAAGUCUGGAAUUGUGUGACAAAUGUAGGCAGCAGGUGUAGAUGGAUUACUCUGAGAAAGCUGACUGCGCCGAUACAGCACUUCAUAACACUCAACAGUCAGGCUGAGUGGGGACUGAUAAAUGUCAGUGUACUGCCGGUCACUAUAGUUAGGCGGUACUUCUCUAAUUUAUAUUACCAGCAGAUACAGGACAAGGAUGAUGACUCUGAAGAAGGAAAACGUCAAUUUAAUUGCUGACUUGAAGAUUUAACACAGGUUGAGUUGUGAUUUAUCUGAUAAAUCCAUGAACUAUCUACAGUUAACUGAGGCUAUAUCCAGGACAUAAAUAAUUAGCUGAUUGAUUGUGUUUUUUUUGUUUGUUUUUUUUAAAUUUGUAUUUACUUAGCGAGGAUAGGUUAAUUGGUAACUCUAAAUUUCCCAUAGGUGUUAAUGCGGGAGUGAAUGUGCGAAUGGUUGCCUCUGUGAGGGUCCUGCACAGUAUCUUAGCUGCUCUUCUGGAUGGAAACGUUGGAUGUUGUUCCUUGGAUCUGUUGGAGCCACUGGCCUAGCUUGGGGGUCACUGCACCUAGUGCUCCAAUUAUCACUGCGACCACUGUUACCUUCACCCUCCACAUUUUCUUGAGCUCUUCUCUGAGCCCUUGGUAUUUGUCAUGUUCAUGUUCCGUCUUCCUGAUGUUGCUAUCAUUUGGUAUUGCUACAUUUAUCAUUAUAGCUGUUUUUCUGCUUGUCCACCACCACAGUAUGUUAGCUUUUACCAGUUUGUCUAUUUGUAUGAUGAUAUUUGUGGGUGUUACAUACUGUGCAGGGGCCUGUCCUUUCAUGAUGGUUCCUCCUCUUGGAGGAGCACAGUAUGUAACACCGGCAAAUAGAAGAAGUGGCUGAUAUUGAGAAAUCCUACCAAGGGCUGGAAAAAGCUGAACUGAAAGACAGCACAGAGGCACUAAUCAUAGCAGCAAUGGAACACGCUCUGAGUAUAAGGUCAAUAGAGGCUGGAGUCUACAACACCAG
Astatotilapia calliptera (eastern happy) is the source of this 1372-nucleotide long non-coding RNA. The record is from Ensembl. NCBI's taxonomy places the organism in Eukaryota, Metazoa, Chordata, Actinopteri, Cichliformes, Cichlidae.